GGUGUUAAUCCAUACACGUCUCACCCCAUCACCUGGAGACCAGCUUGAAGAGGUCGGUAACUAGACUGAACACCACACCCGGUUUAGCCAGGCCUAGGACACCAAAGCGCACCCUCAUCGCAGCCCUAGAGAUUUUGGACCGUCUGCUGCUCUCUGGGGCCCCCAGCCGGCCAUGGAGGAAAUGGAGCUGUGAAGACCCACAGUUCCGUCUCAGGUCCUUAGCUAGAAGAGUUCCAGCUUAGCCAGGGAGGCAUUGUCCCACUGGCUGAAGAUCCGACCGGGGAUCCUCGCUCUUUGAACUGCAGUCUCACGCGAGGUUCAGUGUAGUCUGGGACCCUCACCAUGCACCGUGUUUUUCGAUGCUUCCGGGCGCCGGUGGAGCAGCGAGACUAUGAAUCAGCACCAGUUUGGUCCUGGACCUGGCUUUGCAGAGCAGCAACACUUUGAGGAAGGAUCGCCAUCCUCACUCCUGGUCACCCAGAGGACGUCGUAGGGCGGAGAAUUGCAAGGGAGAGGAGGUGGGAGAAGUGACGAAGGGGAGAAAGCACUGCCCAGUCUGGCAACCUGACCUUCUAGGGCUGGCUAACCACUCCCCCGCAGAGCCAGAGCAGAGGGACUCCCAUUGUUGUCCCUGCUGGGCCUCUAGGGGCUUCGCAUUCUAGCAUCCCAAAGCCAUUGGCUAAGCCUUAUCCAGGAGAGCCAGGUAAGAGGGACGUAACAGGGUUCCAGGAAUCUCAGCCUUUGUCCUGUUUGUCUUGUUCUUCCAUAUAAAUGUCUGGAGCAAUUUUUGCGCCUCUGGAGGGCCUAAGUGCCCUGGAUGCUGCGAGUGGCCAUCCACUUGUGUGUCCGCUGUGCCACGGACAGUACGAGCGCCCGUGCCUGCUGGACUGUUUCCACGACUUCUGCACUGGCUGCUUGCGUGGCCGGGCCACCGAUGGCCGCCUGUCCUGUCCACUGUGCCAGCACCAGACCCUAGUGAAGGGUCCCAGUGGCCUCCCGCCAGUGGACCGGCUGCUGCAGUUCCUGGUGGAUAGCUCUGGGGAUGGCUCGGAGGCCGUGCGCUGUGCCAACUGUGACCUGGAGUGCAGCCAGCAGGACGCAGAGACCACAUACUUCUGCAAUACCUGCGGGCAGCCCCUGUGCGCGCGCUGCCGCGAAGAGACGCACCGUGCGCGCAUGUUCGCGCGCCAUGACAUUGUAGCCCUGGGCCAGCGCAGCCGCGACGUGAUCCAGAAGUGUACGCUGCAUUCGGAGCCGUACAUCAUGUUUUCCACCGACAAGAAGUCGCUGCUGUGCAUCCGCUGCUUUCGGGACAUGCAGGGGGAGAGCCGGGCCCACUGUGUGGACCUGGAGUCAGCUUAUGUGCAAGGUUGCGAGCGGCUGGAGCAGGCGGUGCUGGCAGUGAAAGCCCUGCAGACAGCCACGAAAGAGGCCAUCGCGCUGCUACAGUCCAUGGUGGAGGAGGUGAGGCACAGUGCCGCGGAGGAGGAGGCAGCCAUCCACGCACUCUUUGGCAGCAUGCAGGACAGAAUGGCAGAGAGGAAAGCGCUGCUGCUGCAGACUGUGCAGAGCCAAUAUGAAGAGAAGGACAAAGCCUUCAAGGAACAGCUGACCCACCUGGCCUCCUUGCUGCCCACUCUACAGGUUCACCUGGUCAUCUGCUCUUCCUUCCUCAGCUUGGCCAGCAAAGCUGAGUUUCUGGAUUUGGGUUAUGAGCUGAUGGAGAGACUUCAAGGCAUCGUCACGCGGCCGCAUCGCCUAAGACCGGCUCAGAGCAGCAAGAUCGCCAGCGACCACCGCGCAGAAUUCGCGCGCUGCCUGGAGCCACUGCUGCUGCUGGGGCCCCGCCGGGAGGUGUCCACCGUGGGAGGCGCCAACACGUGAGACAACCAGGAGGGCGAGCGGAAUCACUGAGAAAGGCUCCCGCACCACUCUGCUCUGCACUUGGGGUCUGGGCCAGGCGACAGUCUGAAAGCGAGGGACGCUGGGGCAGGAAACCCCGGGCAGGUUGUCAGGGGGCUCAAGUCCCAUGGUGCUGAAGACACCCAGCUGUCCCUCUCCGGUGGGAAAGAUGUCAGGGUCACCUGUCCAGAAACCCUCGCCACACCGUUUCAUUAGCACAAAGGUGCUCCUGGCCGAAGGCGAGGACACACCCUUCACAGAGCACUGCCGCCAUUACGAGGAUUCCUAUCGGGGUCUGCAGGUGGAGGUGCAGAACCUGAAGGACCAGGUCCAGGAACUGCACCGAGACCUCACGAAGCACCACUCCCUCAUCAAGGCGGAGAUCAUGGGGGAUAUCCUGCGCAGGUCCCUGCUGCUGGACACGCAGAUCGCUUCUGAGUAUGCCUCCUUGGAAGGCAGGAGAGCCAUCUUCCAGGAGAUUUGGGAGGACUCCUACCAGCGAGUAGCUACCCAGCAGGAGAUCUAUGAAGCCCAGCUCCGAGACCUUCUCCAGCUGAGGCAGGAGAAUGCCUAUCUCACCAUUGUCACCAAGCAGAUCACGCCCUACAUACGCUCCAUUGCCAGGGUGAAGGAGCGACUGGAGCCCAGGUUCCAGGUACCUGUGGAUGAGCACGCGGAGCACGGGCAGAACAUGUAUGACGAGACCCCAGGCAGGACAGAUCCAGGAUGCACCACUGAGAAGAGAGACAAGGCCUCUGAGCCCAAUGGAAGCAGCUGGUCCCUGAGCAGCCUCCCCGAAGGGCCUUCACUAAAGAACCAAGACCACCUCAGACCCAAGUUGGAAGCCGGAGAUGAGGGGUGGAGAGCUGGCUCAGGGUCUAAAGGGGCUUGCUACCAAGCCUGACAACCUGGAGUGACAUGGCAGAAGGAAAGAACGAACUCAGAUGUAGAACUAUACCCGAUAAUCGCAUCUAGAGGGUUCCUCACCACCAGCAUCAAAUCAUCUGCAUUUUGCCUAUCCGGCUCUCUUCUGAGCACAGCGGUUCUCAACCUUCCUAAUUCUGUGACCCUCUAAUACAGUUCCCCUGGUGUGGGGACCCCCAACCAUGAAAUUACUUCAUUACUACUUCAUAGCUGUAAUGUUGCUACUGCUAUGAAUAAUAAUGUAAACACCCGACAUGCAGGACACCUGAUACAGGACUCCUCAUAGUGAAACCAAGUACAGUUUUAUUUAAGAAUUAGAAAGAAUAUUCAGUAUCUGUGAAAGAAAAUCCAAUUUAAUAUAUUUAAAUAAACAUUUCUGUAUGUAAAAA
This is an RNA transcript of Mus musculus (house mouse), 3215 nucleotides long. It is a transcript of the gene named ring finger protein 207, with no coding region annotated. The record is from RefSeq and is marked validated. The transcript has 17 exons. Lineage: Eukaryota; Metazoa; Chordata; Mammalia; Rodentia; Muridae.